CAGCAGCCGCGGGAAUACGUAGGGUGCGAGCGUUAAUCGGAAUUACUGGGCGUAAAGCGUGCGCAGGCGGUUCGUUAAGACAGAUGUGAAAUCCCCGGGCUUAACCUGGGAACUGCAUUUGUGACUGACGGGCUAGAGUAUGGCAGAGGGGGGUAGAAUUCCACGUGUAGCAGUGAAAUGCGUAGAGAUGUGGAGGAAUACCGAUGGCGAAGGCAGCCCCCUGGGCCAAUACUGACGCUCAUGCACGAAAGCGUGGGGAGCAAACAGGAUUAGAUACCCGCGUAGUCCCUGUCUCUUAUAC
RNAcentral lists this ribosomal RNA (301 nucleotides) under uncultured bacterium. Its description in RNAcentral is "partial 16S ribosomal RNA". It matches the Rfam family "Bacterial small subunit ribosomal RNA", at positions 509 to 807 of the family's 1533-position model. The record is from RNAcentral.